UAAUUACAAUAAACGGUUAUUUUUACUAAGUUUCAUUGAUUUGUUCUUAGAAAAUCAUUCCAGAAUACUAAUUUUUCCUAUCUGAAUAAGAUAUUAAUAAAUAUAUAAAAUGUGUAUUCGCGUUUCAAGUUUCCUAUGUUUUGAUAACAGUGAAGAAGCAACUUGCUACUCAGCGUUUAUAAUUGGACUUUACUCUGUUGUCAUGAUCUUGGAUUUGGUAACAUCCAAUAAUCUUGCGCUUGUGGAAAUAUAUUCUGAAGAUACACAUUACAAGUGGUAUUUUGUUACUAACAUUAUUGAAUGGUUCGCAUUGCUAAUAUUUAGCUUUCUUUUGUACGUUGCACUCGAACUGG
Molecule: long non-coding RNA, 353 nt
Organism: Centruroides sculpturatus (bark scorpion)
Lineage: Eukaryota; Metazoa; Arthropoda; Arachnida; Scorpiones; Buthidae
Exons: 3
Source: RefSeq, a predicted model, not a curated record